CCAAGUUUUUAAGGGCGCACGGUGGAUGCCUUGGCACCAGACCAGGAACCGAUGAAGGACGUGGGAGGCCACGAUAGUCCCCGGGGAGUCGUCAACCAGGCUUUGAUCCGGGGGUUUCCGAAUGGGGAAACCCGGCAGUCGUCAUGGGCUGUCACCCGCUGCUGAACACAUAGGCAGUGUGGAGGGAACGCGGGGAAGUGAAACAUCUCAGUACCCGCAGGAAGAGAAAACAACCGUGAUUCCGGGAGUAGUGGCGAGCGAAACUGGAUGAGGCCAAACCGUAUGCGUGUGAGACCCGGCAGGGGUUGCGUAUACGGGGUUGUGGGAUCUCUUUUCUGUCGUCUGCCGGCGACAGGACGAGUCAGAAACCGUUGAUGUAGGCGAAGGACAUGCGAAAGGUCCGGCGUAGAGGGUAAGACCCCCGUAGUCGAAACGUCAGCGGCUCGUUUAAGAGACACCCAAGUAGCACGGGGCCCGAGAAAUCCCGUGUGAAUCUGGCGGGACCACCCGUUAAGCCUAAAUAUUCCCUGGUGACCGAUAGCGGAUAGUACCGUGAGGGAAUGGUGAAAAGUACCGCGGGAGCGGAGUGAAAUAGUACCUGAAACCGUGUGCCUACAAGCCGUGGGAGCGUCGGAUGGAAGCUUGCUUCCAUCUCGUGACUGCGUGCCUUUUGAAGAAUGAGCCUGCGAGUUUGCGGUGUGUUGCGAGGUUAACCCGUGUGGGGAAGCCGUAGCGAAAGCGAGUCCGCCAGGGUUGAAAACCUGGGGGAUGACCUGUGGUUAGGGGUGAAAGGCCAAUCAAACUCCGUGAUAGCUGGUUCUCCCCGAAAUGCAUUUAGGUGCAGCGUCGUGUGUUUCUUGCCGGAGGUAGAGCACUGGAUAGGCGAUGGGCCCUACCGGGUUACUGACCUUAGCCAAACUCCGAAUGCCGGUAAGUGAGAGCGCGGCAGUGAGACUGUGGGGGAUAAGCUCCAUGGUCGAGAGGGAAACAGCCCAGAGCAUCGACUAAGGCCCCUAAGCGUACGCUAAGUGGGAAAGGAUGUGGAGUCGCAGAGACAACCAGGAGGUUGGCUUAGAAGCAGCCACCCUUGAAAGAGUGCGUAAUAGCUCACUGGUCUAGUGAUUCCGCGCCGACAAUGUAGCGGGGCUCAAGCGUACCGCCGAAGUCGUGUCAUUCAUACAUGAGGGCCAACGCCCGUGUGGAUGGGUAGGGGAGCGUCGUGUGCCGGGUGAAGCUGCGCCGGAAGGCAGUGGUGGACGGUUCACGAGUGAGAAUGCAGGCAUGAGUAGCGAUACAUACGUGAGAAACGUGUGCGCCGAUUGACUAAGGGUUCCUGGGUCAAGCUGAUCUGCCCAGGGUAAGUCGGGACCUAAGGCGAGGCCGACAGGCGUAGUCGAUGGAUAACCGGUUGAUAUUCCGGUACCCGCUGUGAAGCGUCAAACAUCGAAUCCAGUGAUGCUAAGGCCGUGAAGCCGCCCUGAUCUCUUCGGAGUUGAGGGGAGUGGUGGAGCCGCUGACCCGAUCUGGUAGUAGGUGAGUGAUGGGGUGACGCAGGAAGGUAGUCCAGCCCGGGCGGUGGUUGUCCCGGGGUAAGGGUGUAGGACGUGAUCCAGGCAAAUCCGGAUCACACAUAGUCUGAGACCUGAUGCCGAGCCGAUUGUGGUGAAGUGGAUGAUCCUAUGCUGUCGAGAAAAGCCUCUAGCGAGUUUCAUGGCGGCCCGUACCCUAAACCGACUCAGGUGGUCAGGUAGAGAAUACCGAGGCGUUCGGGUGAACUAUGGUUAAGGAACUCGGCAAAAUGCCCCCGUAACUUCGGGAGAAGGGGGGCCAUUCCUGGUGAUGAGAUUUACUCUCUGAGCUGGGGGUGGCCGCAGAGACCAGCGAGAAGCGACUGUUUACUAAAAACACAGGUCCGUGCGAAGCCGUAAGGCGAUGUAUACGGACUGACGCCUGCCCGGUGCUGGAACGUUAAGGGGACCGGUUAGUCACUCUUCGGGGUGGCGAAGCUGAGAACUUAAGCGCCAGUAAACGGCGGUGGUAACUAUAACCAUCCUAAGGUAGCGAAAUUCCUUGUCGGGUAAGUUCCGACCUGCACGAAUGGCGUAACGACUUCUCGACUGUCUCAACCAUAGGCCCGGUGAAAUUGCACUACGAGUAAAGAUGCUCGUUUCGCGCAGCAGGACGGAAAGACCCCGGGACCUUUACUACAGUUUGAUAUUGGUGUUCGGUUCGGCUUGUGUAGGAUAGGUGGGAGACUGUGAAGCGGGCACGCCAGUGUUCGUGGAGUCGUCGUUGAAAUACCACUCUGGUCGUGCUGGAUGUCUAACCUGGGUCCGUGAUCCGGAUCAGGGACAGUGUCUGAUGGGUAGUUUAACUGGGGCGGUUGCCUCCCAAAGGGUAACGGAGGCGCCCAAAGGUUCCCUCAGCCUGGUUGGUAAUCAGGUGUUGAGUGUAAGUGCACAAGGGAGCUUGACUGUGAGACUGACGGGUCGAGCAGGGACGAAAGUCGGGACUAGUGAUCCGGCGGUGGCUUGUGGAAGCGCCGUCGCUCAACGGAUAAAAGGUACCCCGGGGAUAACAGGCUGAUCUUCCCCAAGAGUCCAUAUCGACGGGAUGGUUUGGCACCUCGAUGUCGGCUCGUCGCAUCCUGGGGCUGGAGUCGGUCCCAAGGGUUGGGCUGUUCGCCCAUUAAAGCGGUACGCGAGCUGGGUUUAGAACGUCGUGAGACAGUUCGGUCCCUAUCCGCUGUGCGCGUAGGAGUCUUGAGAAGGGCUGUCCCUAGUACGAGAGGACCGGGACGGACGAACCUCUGGUGUGCCAGUUGUUCUGCCAAGGGCAUGGCUGGUUGGCUACGUUCGGAAAGGAUAACCGCUGAAAGCAUCUAAGCGGGAAGCCUGCUUCGAGAUGAGGACUCCCACCCCCUUUGAGGGGUUAAGGCUCCCAGUAGACGACUGGGUUGAUAGGCCAGAUAUGGAAGCCCUGUAAGGGGUGGAGUUGACUGGUACUAAUAGGCCGAGGGCUUGUCCUC
Molecule: ribosomal RNA, 3028 nt
Filed under: Streptomyces alboflavus
Lineage: Bacteria; Bacillati; Actinomycetota; Actinomycetes; Kitasatosporales; Streptomycetaceae
Description: bacterial LSU rRNA
Rfam family: Bacterial large subunit ribosomal RNA
Source: RNAcentral